Molecule: long non-coding RNA, 834 nt
Filed under: Pan troglodytes (chimpanzee)
Lineage: Eukaryota; Metazoa; Chordata; Mammalia; Primates; Hominidae
Description: lincRNA
Source: RNAcentral
GGAUAGAUGGGGAGGCUGAGGCCCAGAAGGGGGCUGAGACCACCUCCCAGUUUCCCCAGCGAGGUGGCGCCUGAGCCACGGCCAGGCCCGGCCUCCUUCCACCCGGCCCUGCUGUGCGCGCGGCAGGUGCUGACCUGGCGAGGCCCGACAGGGGACCAGGUCGGGGUGACCGUCACUGACACCUGGACAGUCCUCGUUGUGUUCGGGGUGGGAAGCCCACGGAUCUUCAGAGGGAAGGCACCGGGAGUGGACUGCUGGACACCCGGAGUGGACUGCAGGAGGACACAGAAGCUAGGCUGAAGCGGGAGGAAGCUGGGAACCCUGCACGGGGCCACUGCGCACUGGGACUCGUUACUGGUCCCCAAGACUCAGGGAGAAUGGGGAAGAGUGUAUCACAGCCAUUGGGAACUUUCUUCACCCAUCAAAGCCUCAGGGCUGAAGCAUCCUGAACAAGAACUCAGGAGAGUGAAAGAAACAGUUACCUGUCGGCUGCAGCUGGUACCAGCUCCCCACCCUGUACAGAGACCGAAGCGUCCUCUCUCUCCCCAUCACCCAGCACCAGACUCUGCCCCGUGACCUCAGCCUGCACCUGCUUCCUGGCUCCAUCCAGCCUUCCAGCCUCACUAGAUCAUCAUGGGCCACUGGCCAACACACAGGGCAGUGCCGAGCCCAGGCCGUGGUCACACAUGGCUGGUUUAGUAGCUGAAAACAUUGUUUUUCACUGGCCUCACAGUAAUGGCACCUGCCCCCAUUUUCUGUGAUUGAAUUUUUGGAUCCUGCUACCAGGUUAUGAUAGAUUUUAUGGUAUGUCUCAAGAUGUUGAGAUAAAGGUAA